GUGAGGAAUUUUCCGCAAUGGGCGAAAGCCUGACGGAGCAAAGCCGCGUGAAGGAUGAAGGCCUAUGGGUUGUAAACUUCUUUUCUCAGAAAAGAAUUAUGACGGUAUCUGAGGAAUAAGCAUCGGCUAACUCUGUGCCAGCAGCCGCGGUAAGACAGAGGAUGCAAGCGUUAUCCGGAAUGAUUGGGCGUAAAGCGUCUGUAGGUUGUUUAAAAAGUAUUCUGUCAAAGAUUAGGGCUUAACCCUAGAUAGGCAGAAUAAACUUUUAAGCUAGAGUUUGGUAGAGGCAGAGGGAAUUCCCGGUGGAGCGGUGAAAUGCGUAGAUAUCGGGAGGAACACCAAAGGCGAAGGCACUCUGCUGGGCCAAUACUAACACUGAGAGACGAAAGCGAGGGGAGCAAAUGGGAUUAGAAACCCGAGUAGUCC
RNAcentral lists this ribosomal RNA (426 nucleotides) under uncultured bacterium. Its description in RNAcentral is "partial 16S ribosomal RNA". It matches the Rfam family "Bacterial small subunit ribosomal RNA", at positions 354 to 796 of the family's 1533-position model. The record is from RNAcentral.